Molecule: long non-coding RNA, 2048 nt
Organism: Helianthus annuus (common sunflower)
Lineage: Eukaryota; Viridiplantae; Streptophyta; Magnoliopsida; Asterales; Asteraceae
Exons: 11
Source: RefSeq, a predicted model, not a curated record
UCCUCCCACGUUUAGUUUCCAGAAACCCAAUCGUCAAAACCUAGAAGAGGUUCAUUCGAAACCCUUGAGCUCUCGAUCAGUUUCAUCCCUUUCACAGCUGUUUGUAACCGCAAGGUGAAAACGAAGAUUAGAGUUUGAGAUCCACCCACGAAGAUUCAGAAACAGUUGAAGGCUUUAGUCCUGAAUUGGAGAAUCAAAAUGGAGAGAAAGUGAAGCAAAAACCGCUUUUAGAAACCAUCGUUUAUAUUUUUCGUUUUGCAGAAUACAGAAGAAUAAUGGGGGGAAAUUUGACUCUGGAUAGUGAAGGAAGACCAUUUAGAAUGCUUGUUUUUAGAGGAAGCCCGAAAUCAAGUAGAAAAUCGAUUCGAUAUGUUGAUGAAAUUAGGCGUAGCGAUGAAGACAAUUUCAAAAACAAGAAUCACAUUAGCCAACAAAGAAAAUUACCCAAGAAGGAAACCAAAAUACUAGAUGCACCUUUCAUUCAGGACGAUUUCUACAUGAACGUAAUGGAUUGGGGGAAGAACAACAUUCUCGCAGUUGCUUUGGGACAAGAAUUGUACCUUUGGAACCCGGUGAAUGAAGACACAUAUCGUCUACUUAGAACCGAGAAUUUAAAUGACCCUCCGUCCAGUCUUUCAUGGUCUCACGAUGGCAAAACACUCGCGGUUGGUCUUUCACAAUCACAUAUUCAGCUUUUCGACGCGCAAACUAGCAAACUUAUAAACAGACUAGAAGGUCAUCAUGUAGUUGCAACUUCAUGGAAUGGCCACAUUUUAACAUCAGGCAGUGGCAAAGCCAUUUUGAACCAUGAUGUGAGGGUUAGAAACAGUUUGGUGUCGCGUUUAAAGGCGCACAGGAUGCUUAUCGCCUAAAGUUGCUAGCGACGAUAUUCAGGUUCAAAUUCCGAUUGUGAUUCUUGUUUGAACGGUCUUGAUUGGAUCAGUAGGUUGUUUACCAGAAGCAAAUGAUCGGUUUCUACUUCUGAUGUGGUAUAUGUAUGCAAGGAUGGAGAGACUUAUGCAGACCUCUCAAAUGUGUGCUCUUGAGCCACAUUAGUUUUUGAACAUGCUGAUAGGAUGUGCUGUAAGACAUACUUGACUACAAAAUCCUUCAAAAACACCUAAUAUAAUCAGGCCAUGGUGACAAAAAGAGGAAGAAAAAUAUCGAACCUGAACCAGCUCUGCCAAAUCCAUGGAGGUCGCUUGUAUUUAUACAAUUAGUUAAUGGGUCAUAUCGUGUUUGUACAGAUAUUGGUUUUGUAGCUGAAGUAGGGUUAAUGAAAGAAUAUUUGCAUUUUUAUUUAGGAUUGUGUUAUUUUACUACGUGAAAACAUGGAUUUUUUUUUCAUGUGUAGGUGAGCUGGGACAUUUUGCAUGGUUGAUAAGCAAUUUUCUCGGGUUGUCUAGCUUUCUUGGUGUUUGCUGCAGUAUUAUUUGUCAGCUGCGGGUUCAGUCAUGGUAGAGAGAAGACUGAUUUUUUGGGGCUGCCAAUCAGACAGCGGGUGACUUGUCUGCAUCUCUGGUGUAGGGUUGUUCAUGAGCCGAGCCGAGCCAGGCCAAGCUCGGGUUUGGCUCGAUUAUAAACCGAGCUGGCUUGGCUGGGCUCGGAUUUGAAACCGAGCUGAAAAUCUAAAGCUCGGGCUCGACUUGGUUUUAAACCGAGCUGGCUUGGCUCGGCUUGGUUUGGCUCAAUUUUAAAAAAAAGAAAUUAUUAAGCUUAAUUAAGGAUGUUCAAGGCUGGAGCUCAACUUGCAUUAAUUGAGGGGUCUAGAUUCUUUCCUGGCUUCUGAUGGUGGUUUGCCACAACUCCUUGGGUGCAUCGGCUUUGUAACAUCAGGAAAGUCGGCCCUUCUUCUAGAUCUCUAACAAUUGGCUAUGGCACCUCUUCUUUGAUUUGUUAUUGGAGUUCUCUUUUCUGAUUCACAUAGUUGGCUUCUUUAGAGUAGAAAUGUUUGUAUCUAGGGUAGCCAUUUGGCAUCGUAUAUUAAUUAGUCUUUGUUCAAAUUUUGAGUGUAAGCUGGUGCAAAUGAAAACUGUUGUUUUUGUUGA